Molecule: non-coding RNA, 30 nt
Filed under: Mus musculus (house mouse)
Lineage: Eukaryota; Metazoa; Chordata; Mammalia; Rodentia; Muridae
Source: RNAcentral
UGAUUCUACUGGCUCAUUCUAGUUGAGGGC